This 481-nucleotide ribosomal RNA is filed under the name uncultured bacterium. RNAcentral's name for it is "partial 16S ribosomal RNA". It matches the Rfam family "Bacterial small subunit ribosomal RNA", at positions 28 to 507 of the family's 1533-position model. The record is from RNAcentral.
GAUGAACGCUGGCGGCGUGCUUAACACAUGCAAGUCGAACGAAGCACUUUAUUUGAUUUCCUUCGGGACUGAUUAUUUUGUGACUGAGUGGCGGACGGGUGAGUAACGCGUGGGUAACCUGCCUUGUACAGGGGGAUAACAGUUGGAAACGGCUGCUAAUACCGCAUAAGCGCACAGCAUCGCAUGAUGCAGUGUGAAAAACUCCGGUGGUAUAAGAUGGACCCGCGUUGGAUUAGCCAGUUGGUGAGGUAACGGCCCACCAAGGCGACGAGCCAUCGCCGGCCUCAGGGGGUGUCCGGCAACAUUGGGACUGCGACGCGGCCGAAACUCCUACGGGAGGCAGCAGUGGGGAAUAUUGCACAAUGGGCGAGAGCCUGAUGCAGCGACGCCACGUGAGCGAAGAAGUCUUUCGGUAUGUAAAGCUCUAUCAGCAGGGAAUAUUAUGACGGUACCUGACUAAGAAGCACCGGCUAAAUACGUG